GAGGGACGGAGGGCAGCAGGGCUCAGGGGAACGGGAAAGCAGGGCCUGGGCCCGGGCUCGUGGGAGGUCUCACCCCCCCCCCGCCCUCCGCGUGUACCCACAGUGGGCUCUGGUUAGCUCUGCCCCACCAUUCGCCUAGGAUGCUGUCCCGCCCACAGGUGUUCUCCGGCCCCAAGAACUGCCCUGGACACCCCCCCGCCCCUCCCUGCGUCUCCCAGCUGCUGACUUCACUCUUCUCUGCCCUGAAGUCACUGACUUGCGGCUGUUUGUGCGUGCCCGGGAGCUGCACACACUUGAAGUGACCGGCCUGGAGACAGUUGCUCAGAUCAAGGCAAAAGCCCAUGCCGCCUCCUUGGAGGGCCACACCACCGAAGAUAAAGUAGUGCUUCUGGCAGCUUCUCCCCUGCAGGAUGAAGCCACCCUGGGUCAGUGUGGGGUAGAAGCCCUGGCGACCCUGGAAGUGGUUGGCCGCCUGCUAGGAGUGGAUGAGAGCACAUACAUAAAUAUUCAAGCCAGUUAAUUAUAUUUAUCCGGGGUGUUGAUGAGAAUUUUUACAUCACUGAAGAACUUUUGGACAUGGUUCCCAUGACAGACCCAGCAUCUGAAAAUGUCUUAUUUGGGUAUUCACCCAAGAGAAAUGAGAACAUAUCCAUACAAAGACUUGUAGAAGAAUAGGCCCAAACUGGAAACACCCUAAAUCUCCAUCACAGAGGAAUGGAUAAACAAAUUGUUGUAUGGGGCGCCUGGGUGACUCAGUCCAUUAAGCGUCUGCCCUCAGCUCAGGUCGUGAUCCCAGGGUCCUGGGAUCAAGCCCCACAUCAGGUUUCCUGCUCAGUGGGGAGUCUGCUUCUGCAUCUCCUUCUCCCCCUGCCCCUCCCCCUCCUCAAGCUCUCUCUCUCUCAAAAAAAAAAAAGAUUCAAGAAGAAUAUAUUCCACUCUAAUCACCUUCUUUUAGGAGGUGAAGCCUGCUUCUCCCUCUGCCUGCCGCUCCCCCUGUUUGUGCUCGCUCUGUCAAAUAAAUAAAUAAAAUCUUUAAAAAAAUGAAAGAAAAAAUGUAUUUUGGAAAAUAGAGGAAUAAGGAAUAAAUGUUAUUACUUUACCUUGAAACCAGUUUAACUUCAAAAGAAAAAAGAAUGUGAAUCCAAAGAAGCAGGAAAAUAGGACCCAUUACAAAGAGAAAAACCAACCAGAACUGACCCAGAAAUGAUAUAGAUGACCGAAUUAGUAGACAAGGGCAUUCAACAGUCAUCAUAGCUGUGUUCCAUAUGUUUACAAGUCACAAGAAAGACUGAACAUGUUAAGUAGAGACAUGUGAGGAAAAAUAAGACCCAAACCAAACCUCGAAAGUUGAAAACUUCAGUGCCUGAAACGAAACCUAUAUUAGAUUAAUUGCAUAUGAGGCAUUGCAAAAGAAAGAUUAAUAUACUUGAAGGCAUAGCUAUAAAAACUAUUCCGAAUAAAACUUAAGAGACAAAAAGAUAGAAAAGACCAUGAACAGACUAUCAGUGAGCUGUAAGCUGUGGGACAACUUCAAGAAGCCAAAUAUACAACCUAAAUGGGGGAGGAGACAGGAAAAAAUAUUUGAAGAAAUAGUGGCCAAAAUUUUUCCAAAUUUGAUGAAAACUAUAAAUCCUCAGAUUGAAGAAGCUCAGUGAACCCUAAGCACAAGAAACAUUAAGAAAGGGGACAUAAAUCGACAUGCUUAAAAAUGGUGAUGAUGAGAAAAUCUUAGCAGCCAAAGAGAAAAAAGACAUAUUUCAUAAAGAGGAAUAAAGAUCAGGAUGACAGCAGAUUUCUCGCUGAAGCAAUGCAAAAGACAGUGAAGAAACAUCUGUAUAGUACUGGUAGGAAAAAAAGCAGUCAACCUAGAACGUUAUAUACAGCAAAAAUGUAUUUCAAAAACAAAGGCCGAAUACCUUUUCAGACAUACAAAUCCUGAAAGAAUUUGUCACCAGCAGGCCUACGCUACAGUGAAUGUGAAAGGAAGUCCUUCAGAUAGAAAGGGAAUGAUACAAACUGGAAAUGUGGAUAGACAACAGGAAUAAAGAAUACCAGAAAUGACAACCACAUGGAUAAAUACAAAAAACUUUUUUUUCUUAUUAUUUAAAUCUCU
This is a long non-coding RNA of Mirounga angustirostris (Northern elephant seal), 2113 nucleotides long. RefSeq lists it as uncharacterized. The transcript is spliced from 4 exons. The record is from RefSeq and is a predicted model, not a curated record. Lineage: Eukaryota; Metazoa; Chordata; Mammalia; Carnivora; Phocidae.